RNAcentral lists this ribosomal RNA (114 nucleotides) under Anaerorhabdus furcosa. Lineage: Bacteria; Bacillati; Bacillota; Erysipelotrichia; Erysipelotrichales; Erysipelotrichaceae. The record is from RNAcentral.
UCUGGUAAUGAUGGCGAAAUGGUCACACCUGUUCCCAUACCGAACACAGAAGUUAAGCAUUUCAGCGGCGAUUAUAGCUAUGCACGCCAUAGUGAAACUAGCUCGUUGCCAGGU